Long non-coding RNA from Myotis myotis, 1344 nucleotides. RefSeq lists it as uncharacterized. The transcript is spliced from 3 exons. The record is from RefSeq and is a predicted model, not a curated record. NCBI's taxonomy places the organism in Eukaryota, Metazoa, Chordata, Mammalia, Chiroptera, Vespertilionidae.
AUACAGAUGACAUGCACUCUAUCCAGUUUAGUUACUGCUUUUAUAAUAUCACCUAAAAAUAAAAAGCAGAUGAUUUCAGAACUGGUGUCUUAUACAACAUUGGCUAAGACUGCCAUGCCAGAUCCAGAGCUGUCAGGAGCGACUGAACUGCAAAAGAGUAAUUCCAAGGAAAUUGUAAGUUUUAAAGAACUGAGAUGAUAAAAAUAAAAACCAGAUUUGCAAUCUAAAUACAACUUGAAAUUAUAAACUUGCCACAUAAUUUAAAUUUGUGAGGCUUUGUGUUUAUAUUUGGCAUCCUCUUAUGUAAUUUUUGUAAAAUAGGCAAAAUAUAUUAAUCAGUUAAAUCAUGAUACAGUCUUCUAGUCUGGAAUUUUAAUUUGAAACAGAAAUUUUGUAUAUUGAAUGUAAUUUAUAGAUUAUAUUUCAGACUAAAAAGUGUUGCCUAGCCACUGCAUAGACACACACAUUUUAAUAUUUCUAAAUAUAUACUACAAAUUGACGGCAUUAUAAAGUGCAAAAGGAUGCCAAUACAGGGUGGGGCAAAAGUAGGUUUACAGUUGUUCAUAUGGAAAAUAAUACAAUAGUUAAUAAAUAAUAAUAUAAGAAUAAACUGUUUUGCAUACUCACAAAUGUAACUACUUUUGUACACCCCUGUAUAUUGGAUAUAACACAAUCGAGUGCUACCUUUAAAUAAAAAUGACACCCAAAUCAAUGAGAUGCAAAAUGAGUACUGAUAGAGAGACCUAAUGUUAAUUACUUUUAAUACAAUUAGAUAUGACAAUUGAAAAGUUUAACACUUAAGUAUAUUGUUUUUUAAAACUGUAGGAUAAUUGCAUGGUUUUGGGAAAAAAAGAGCAAUUUUGAAAUACUGACCUAUCAUCAUCUAAAUACUAUACUAUUUCAUAAGAGUAGCAUAAUGCAGUUUUCAAUAUCUUGAUAUCAAAUUGCCCAGUGUUCCCUUUGAUAUCUUAGUUUCUCUAAGUAAUGUCAUAGGAGUUGAAAUCUACUACGGUCAGAGUAUAUCUCAAUGACAUUAAAUUGAGAUAUUAUCUCUAUUUAGUCAUCGUCUAUGUUCCUUCUUUUCUUCCAGUCAAAUAAAAUGAAAAUAUUAACUUUAGGACACAUGAUAUCUUUAGAUCUUCAGAAAGACAGCACUAUUAUCAGGAAGUGUUGAUACAUUUUGGCUCACCCCCAUAUAAUAAAAGAAUAAAGAAGACUGAUAUUUCAUACACCAUACAUGUAGCAUAUAAAAAUAUCAUUUAAAAAGUAUCAAUUUUAUUAGUACCUUUUACAGAAGUACUAUACUUCGAAAAUGUCUCUGGCACUGGGGGAUAGGGGUAAUAU